Molecule: long non-coding RNA, 253 nt
Filed under: Salvia miltiorrhiza (redroot sage)
Lineage: Eukaryota; Viridiplantae; Streptophyta; Magnoliopsida; Lamiales; Lamiaceae
Description: long non-coding RNA (SMIL_LNC002891)
Source: RNAcentral
AGGGUUCAGGCGCUGCAGCAGUUCAUCGCUGUUGUCGUCGCCGGAGAUCUGAGAGAGGGAGUCCGAGUCACGUCGGCGGCAGCUUUUCUUGUUGCAGUCGCCGAGAAGGGAGAAGAGAGAAGGGAGCUGGAGCCUGUCGCCGCUUGCUCCGGCGAGCUCCAACGGCCGUGAAGUCCGAGCAGUUGCGAGGGAGAGAGGCGAGCAGUCGUGAGGGAGAAAGAGAUGAGCAGUCGUCGGGGAGAAGAAAGAUGCC